GGGAUUGGGACAACAUUUUUGCUUUUGUCGGCUCUGGUUGCGAUGACUUGCUCCUUGGUUAGCCAUGUGCGUGUCUGUUCUAUGCACUGUUUCGUUCUGGCGGUCAUGAGCCUGUCUGUGUUGGGAUGGGUUCUGGAUCUUGGGUAUGAACGCACUGCCAUCCACCUAGCUUUUUGUUUCUUGACGUCAGUGGAUUUUCUAUUCUGCAAAUGGCGUCGGCUAAGCUGCAUCGGUCAUUCACGACGAAGUUCGGGCCGAACCUUAACACUUCCUUGACAAAAAAACGUACAUCUUGGGAGCAGUAGGAGAUUACUUCAGUCGAGAAGUCAUGUUCCUUAGGCCAAUCAGCAGUUGAGUUUUCAUUAACCAUUUGAGCUUUUUAACAUACUUUUUUUAGUAUUAAAUGCAAAUUGUAC
RNAcentral lists this long non-coding RNA (416 nucleotides) under Androctonus crassicauda. Lineage: Eukaryota; Metazoa; Arthropoda; Arachnida; Scorpiones; Buthidae. The record is from RNAcentral.